UGAUAAACUGGAGGAAGGUGGGGAUGACGUCAAGUCAUCAUGGCCCUUACGAGUAGGGCUACACACGUGCUACAAUGGCGCAUACAAAGAGAAGCGACCUCGCGAGAGCAAGCGGACCUCAUAAAGUGCGUCGUAGUCCGGAUUGGAGUCUGCAACUCGACUCCAUGAAGUCGGAAUCGCUAGUAAUCGUAGAUCAGAAUGCUACGGUGAAUACGUUCCCGGGUCUUGUACACACCG
RNAcentral lists this ribosomal RNA (237 nucleotides) under uncultured bacterium. RNAcentral describes it as "partial 16S ribosomal RNA". It matches the Rfam family "Bacterial small subunit ribosomal RNA", at positions 1156 to 1392 of the family's 1533-position model. The record is from RNAcentral.